CUGGAUGGUAAUAACUUAAUUUGCCUCAGUGACAGUUCAUCAGGUCCUUUCACUUCCAUUUUCUCAUCUGACCAUCAUGACCUUAUGGUUUUGGGUGUGCACCUGGCUUGCAGCAGAACUGGCUGGGAUGGCUUCAUAACUUCCCUUCUAACAAUAUAACAAUAUGCUUCUGUAAAUUUUCACACUGAAUUGGACAAGAAUCAGAAUAUCCUGUUUUGAACAUCUGCACAGAUUGACAAACAAAAAUGGAACAUCAAGACUGACUGGAAAUGGUGAUGUGAAAUUCAUUAAAUGCUCUUGCAAUUGCCAGAGGUGCCAAGACUGAGGCUCAGAGAAAUGAAAUAACAUGCCAAAGGUCACAGUGUCUAGUGGAGCUGGGGCCAAAUUCAGAUUAAUAACACACAGGAAAAACCCUCAACUUCUUUCAUUCGCCUGUUGAGAUAAAGGGAAAGAGAGUCCCCAUCCAGGCCUGCAGGAGAGGGAGAACUGGUGGAUGCAAAUGAAAAAGCAGAGGCAUUCCUCAGCUCUUUUAUCCCAGAGAUUAUAGUGCUGGAGUUGGAAGAAGAUGGGAGAAACAUAUGAGGAGAGAAGGAAGUCGAGCUCAUACCAUGAUGAAGAAGAUAACUCCUGAAGAUUGGGAAGGGCACUGGCUGGCUCUCAAAGAUGGACAAAUGGCUUUACGACGCUUAAGGGGAUGCUCUGUGGAGUCUGCUUGGGUGCAAAUCACCACCAUGACACACUACCCAUGGUACCGUUUUUCAGCCCCAGCCAUCACUUCAUCCUUUGCUCUGUAGCUUUCUUCAUUUGUUGGGAGAGAGGCUAUUCUUUUACUUGAACUUAGUGGGAGCUCAUUUUGCAAAGAUACAUGCUUCACCAUCCCCUGAAAGAUUUAUAUAGAAGGACACUGUGGCAACAUGUGACCUUUUGAAACUGCUCCCUUGGAAGGAAUUCUAAUGUCCUCCUGUCUAUGUUACCUGCUGUGUACCUACCACUGGGGAAAGAUGCUGAAAAUUUAAUGAAUUGCAGAAAAGCUGUGCAAGCUUCUCUUUUGGAAGAACCUUGGAGAAGAGAGAGGCUGACAGAAAGAAAACUUUCAAAGAAAUUACACUGCCCUCAAGGGUGGCAUCUACAGAGGACAGUGACAGGGCCUUGGAGACGUAUGAUUUCUUCUGCUGCUCAUUUACCUAGGUCUGUUUUCACUCUGGUGACUGGCCACAAUCAUGGGAAAAGUGAAGAAAUCUGAUAACUAUCAAGGUACAAAUUGCUAGAGAAAGAAAAUCGGGACUCUUACAACUAAGGGCUAAUUGAUGUGGAGAUGGAAGGUUUGUGGUGCUAUGUUUUGCAUGUGCCUCUGUGUGUGUUUGUGUGUGUAUAUAUAGGAGGGUAGGAGGUAGAAGAAUUCACAGUACAACCUAAUAAUCUGGGCCAUGGACCCAGCCAAAGAAGCGGGGACAGGGGUUGAAUGGAGAAGCACAUGGGACCAGAUGUACAAUGUAUCUGGAAAACAGACACAUAUACCGCAUCCAGGGAAUAACUGCAAACAGUCAAAUAACAUAUUUUGUAUUCAACCACUGACACAGAAAUUCAUGCACAAUGUAUUUUAUUUUUUAGUGGAAGAGAGAGAACUAUGCCACCCCUUUAAGGUAUGAUGCCAUUCUUAGAAAUAAAUAUUCGUAUAGAGAAAACUAUCUGAAAGGAUAGAUGUCAAAAUGUUUACAUAAGAGAUUAUUUCCGGAUGUAAGAAUUAGAGGGGAAUUUUAUAUUUUUUAUUUUUUGUGUAUGUACAGUUUCUAAUUUUCCUACAUUUAGUAUGUAAAAAGGAAAAAAAAGUAGCACAUUUUUAGAAAAGAAUUCUAAAUUUCUUUUAUAAAUAUCACUAAGGAAACAGAUUUGAUUUGGGCAAAGGGAAGAAGAGAUUAGAAUAGGGGUUGGCAAACUACGACCCUCUGAGCUAAAUCUGGCCUGCCACCUGUUUUUGUAAAUAAAGUUUCAUUGGAAUACAACCACUUCUUUCAUUUAUAUACUACAAACAUGGAGUUUAGCAGUUGUGACAAAGACCCUACGACCUACAAAGCCAAAUGGCUCUCCUAUCUGGUCCUUUACAAAAAAAGUUUGCCUAAACCCAGUUUAGAAGAAUCCUCCUAAUAUGGUCUUACCUAUUUUACCUUACUAGUUGUGUGAGCUUAGGGAAGUCAUAACUUUCACACCUCAGGUUCCUCAUGUGUAAUGAGAUGGAUAACACAUCUUAGACAUUUUAUGAAAAUUAAAUGAUUUAAUACAUAAAUGGUGCUAAACACUGUGUUUGGCAUAUAGUAGAUGCUCAAUAAAUAUUAUGCUCCUACUUAUUUUCUACUUCCUUUAAAUAAAAUGCAUUAUUCUGAUUUCAUGGCAAAUCUAAUGAAACUGCCAUUUUUGCUAGUCAAAAUUGUUCAAUAUUGGCAAUUUUAUAUGGCUCAAUGUAAUCAUACUUUAGCCAUUUACUAUUCUCAUUGCUCUUGUUUAAGUUGUAAUUGCUGAGCUUGUAUCUAUCAAUGUCACCAAGGUAGUUUUAGGGUUAGCUAAAUUGCCACAAACGGCUGGAAACCAAAAUCUAUUAAUAGCAUUGUUCUAUCCAAAUGUGGACACUUUGGGUGUAUGAAACAAAACACUGUAUUUGUAUUUCACUUUGUUACUUGUGUAACACAGGGAAAUCUGCAUUCAAUGCACCUAUGGUGUGACAGAUUAGGGCCUCUUUCCUGCUGCCCUAAAUAGAAGCUUUUUAGAUAAAGGAUAUUUGCUUCCACCCUACAAAACAGCACCUGACUUAAAUUUCAGCAGACUCAGUGAGCUUUCACAGCACUGCGACAAUCACUCUUGGCACUGAGCAAAGUUCUGACACAGUCUACCACAACAUCCUGGGAAGAACUGCUGAAGGGAACAUGGGGCUCAGGAUGCUACAAAAUUUGGAGACUGUCAUUCAAUCGCACUUGAAGAUGAUAUUCUGGGGCUUAGUGCAGAUCCAAAAUAGGAGUUCUUUAAAAAAGUAAAAUGGGGUUUCUCCAAGAACAAGACAGGAAGACCGACUGGAACAUCAAUGGAAUGUAAGUGUAAGAAGUUGCAGAUAGGGAAGUAUAGGAUGAGCUUCAUGAAAAGGAGGCAAAAUCAGGAAACUGAAAGACUAAUCAAAGUAUUCUUAUCAACAGAAAUGAAGAAAGGCUUUUAGUUCAGUGCUAAGACUAUCAAAGGAAGAACAAACCCAAUUUAAUCCAAUCAACACUUAUUAAAUGCCUACUUUAUGCCAGGCACUGGGUUAACACAGCUAGAGAUAGUAAGAUAAAUCAGACACAAUUUCUACCUUAGAGAAGUUUCUGGGCUGGUGGGAGGGAGAUAAACAUGGAACCAAAUAACUUUAAUAUCGUGAUAAAUGUUAUAAUACUAACAAUAAUAGCUGUCAUUUAUUAAUUGUGUAAAAUGUAAAGCAAACACAGAAUGGAAAAAUUAGUUUUGCUUGGAGAGGUCCAGAGAGGGUAGGGAGGAGGGGAAUAAUUACAGUCAGCACCUGAAAAUGACCAAAAGUUCACGAAGCUAAUACUGAGGCAAGAAUGAGAGUGAUGUGCUGUGGUUUCAGGACAGGAUGGAUUGUUGUAAUGGUUAAAAUGAAGCUGACGAAAAACCUCAUAAGCCAAACUUAGGAAUUGUGACGUUAUUCAGUAGGCAUUAAUUCUCAAUAAGCAGGAAGCAGUUUGGUUCAGUCCGGUUUAAAAAAGACAAGAGAAUACUUUCCUAGAGAGCCAUGAGGCAGGAUCAUAGGAAGAAGAGAGACUAAAUGGUUCUGUCUGUGAAAAUUUAGACCAGAAAAGUGGCAGUAAGAAGAGAGAAGAGGAGAUGGAUACAGGAUGCAGCAUGUCUUCAAACUGAAAUGCAAAAGUGGAGGGAGACAUUCUGAAGACCCAGAGGAGAAACAGAUGAAAAGAACUGUGGUGUGGGAGGAGCAAGGGACGGUAGGCAAGGAGAAGACCACAGUUAGGUCACUGGCCUUGGGAAAGGGAACAUCUUUUUUUCCUCGACCAGCCUGGGCAACACGGUGAAAACCUGCCUCUACAAAUAAAAAUACAAAAAAAUUUGGCCAAGUGUGGUAGUGUGCGCCUGUAGUCCCAGGUACUCGGGAGGCUGUGUGUGGAGGCUCUGGGGCUUGUGCCCAGGGUAUCGAGGCUGCAGUGAGCCGUGAUGUCACAUGUCACGUCUCAUUAAAGGGUAUUGAAUGAUACCCAAGAGAGGAAAAAUCUGAUUUCCUUAGCCUGGCCCUCAAAGCAUUCUGUAAUGUAGCUCACAACCUAUUCUUCUGAUCCAUUUUCACCUCCUUUAUUCUUCCCUCCUGAGGGUAUAGAUACCCAAAUGUCUUCGGGACUCAGGCGGGUAACACACAAGGGGGUGAAGUGGCAGGGUCUGAGGCCCUGAAGUGGUGAGUCCAUGGCUCACAGGACGUUAUAUUUUCUUUUUAAAUUCACUGAGAGGCAAACAACAUAUAUACACACAGAGAUUUUAGAAGUUUAACGUUUAUCUUGAGAGGCUUUACCUUCUAAAAUUCUACACAGCAUCAAUCCAGCCUUCUCUAAGCAGACUUCCCAGUCAACCAGGCUUAUAGACAAGAGUUCCUUCUCAUGUCUUAUUAGGGUUAUAAGCAUGUCCACCCCCAUGCUUAUUUUUAUAUCACUUACCUGCACAUAUAAGAUGUUAUCCCUCAGAGUGUACAGGUCAAAGCAUGAGCUUUGGAUUCAGACAGCCCUGGGUUAAAAUACUGUUUUUGCCACCUCUGGGCUUGUAUAACAUGUGAAAAGCUAUCUAAGGUCUUGGAAACUCACUUUCCUCAUUUGUCAAAUGAUAAUAAUAUUAAUAAUAAUACCAACCUUAAAGGGUUAUUGUGAAGAUAAAAUUAAACAAUAUACGAAAAAUACUUCCUCGAUUGCCUGGCAUAUAAACCCUCAAUAAAUAUGUUUUAAGAUAUAUGGUUUUCCCCAACAUGAUGAUAAUUUAAGGAAGGGCGAGAAUCACAUCUUCUGAAUUCUUUCUACCUUGAGUUACUAGAGAAAUAUCUUGGGAGUAUUCGAUGCUAAGUAUAUGUUUAGGAAAUGGGUUGAUAUUUAAAAUAAUCAUUAUUACUAAAAAACACACUGGGCAAGGCAAAAUUUUCAUGGGCUGGAGAAAUUAUCACUAAUUGCUAGGUUUUAGGGCCUUAACUAGAUUAGUGAGAUGCUUCUAAACAAUAAAAAAACAAAAAUUACACACAUAAGUAUAUGUGUAUAUCUACGCAUUUAUAUAAUUCUUUACAUACAAAUGUAUAUCUGUAACACAUAUAUGUUUAUAAUUCUUUACCACUUGCAAAGUGCUUUCUCACAAACUUUGAUGUGGAGUUCCUGCAACUACGGAUCAAUAAUAAUAGCCAAUACCAACUUUAUAAGAUACGUAUUAUCAUAAUUUAAUUUUAGGGAAAGGGAAACUGAGGCUCAGUGAGGUUAAACAUACUUGGCGAAGGUCACACACCGUGAAUAAUGAAUGGAAUGUAUUCUAUUGCAGGUCACCACAGUCCAAUCUUUCUCUCAUCUUUCAUAGGUAUCAAAGAUAUGAAGCUUGCCAAGAGUAUUCUAAACAUUUAAGAGUAACAUUACCCUACAGUUAAUAUGGGAAUUGAAAAAUAUCUCUAAUAAGAAUUUCAACAGGGAACAUGGGGGAUCAAACGUAGUGUCCUAAAAGGAUCUUGGCCAAGAUCUCUUGAAGAUAGUUGUGUUUUACUGAAACAGUGCCACAGGAUUGUAAAUAUCAUCAAUCCUACAUGUGUGGACUUCAGUUUCCUCCAUCAAUAACACAUGACAUCAGGCUCCUCACCAUAAAUGACGCCAUCUAAAGGAAAAGAGUCAUUGGUCUACUUAGCUGAUUGCCUCUAAUAGGUCUAAUUUUUGAUCUCCCAAUAACAUGCAGGCUCUGUAAGGAUGGGAACUCUGACUUGACAGGAAGAGAGCAUGUGGUAUAUUAAUUUUUUUUUUUUUUUUUGAGACAGAGUCUUGCUCUGUCGCCCAGGCUGGAGGGCA
RNAcentral lists this long non-coding RNA (6065 nucleotides) under Homo sapiens (human). RNAcentral's name for it is "HSALNT0349332". Lineage: Eukaryota; Metazoa; Chordata; Mammalia; Primates; Hominidae. The record is from RNAcentral.